AACUUGAUGAAAUCUAAAGGCACGACUGAUGAAACAGAGCUAGAUUGAAACCAUGAAAUUAAUCAUCAUUUCUCAAUCAGUUUCAAGAUUCUAUCAUACACCCAACAGUGAAAUAAACGAAAUACAUCAAGAUAAUACUAUUACAUUGCUUGCAUAUAGAAUUGAGAAUUAAGAGUUGAGAAAACACAAAUAAUCCAAUAACCCAAUACAAAUAUCUCCAAAAAUAAAAAUAAAAUAAAAACCCAGAUUCAUAAUAAACUUCAACAUAAACAAAGAGGUACUUACUAGUGUUGAUUUGAGAUUCGACCUCGCUCCUCCACUUUCAAAUUCGUUAGGUACACUUUCUUAUCUUAACUCGCAUUUCGAUUUCAUCACUCUCCUUUCUCCUUUUUGAUCUUGAUCUGUCCCACGAUCCACAACCGAUCUGCUACAACAAGAUUGCACAGGUCGAACUUGAAAUUCGCAAGUACUAUCAGAAUUUGAGGAUCUUUAGGCGUCGAUCUCUGGCGACGUAGAAAUCAAGAGGGGAGGAGUAGUGAGUAGCUGAACAAGACUUUAGGGCACAUUUGGUAACUAGGAUAAGAUUGAAUUAGGAUAACAGCAAGAUUAGAUUAGAAUAAGAUUAGAUUUAUUUCAAAUCCUUUCAUUUGUUUGGUUAGAAGGAUUAGUACGGUAAUAGAUAUGUGGAAGAAAUAGAUCUUUGGCCAGCAUCCAUCUUCUUCAACACAAUCGAAAGCCCAAUUCAUCAAAUUCUCAAUUCCUCUGCGAACAUAAAUGCCUCAAGCUAAUUAACAGUGGCGGCAAGUAGCGAAAGCCUCUGAUCCUGGAAGCGAGACGGUUCCCCAAAACCCAACUCCAAUUUCCUUCCCUCUGUCAACUCUAUUACAUGCCCAGAUGAAAUCAUCUACAACUCCUACAGCUUUCCCAAUCUUCCUCCAAAGUCCUCAGCAUCUCCGCCGGCGCCGUCCACAAGGCUCUCUUUCCCGGCCAGGUCGUCGUCGCUCACAUCACCUUCGUCGAGCUUUUGGGCUUCGGUCGUUCGUCAACCGCGUCGAUCUGUACA
This 1063-nucleotide long non-coding RNA is filed under the name Fragaria vesca (wild strawberry). RNAcentral describes it as "long non-coding RNA (FVES_LNC003997)". Lineage: Eukaryota; Viridiplantae; Streptophyta; Magnoliopsida; Rosales; Rosaceae. The record is from RNAcentral.